CGGACGGGUGAGUAACACGUGGGUAACCUACCUAUAAGACUGGGACAACUUCGGGAAACCGGAGCUAAUACCGGAUAAGAUAUCGAACCGCAUGGUUCGAUAGUGAAAGAUGGUUUUGCUAUCACUUAUAGAUGGACCCGCGCCGUAUUAGCUAGUUGGUGAGGUAACGGCUCACCAAGGCAACGAUACGUAGCCGACCUGAGAGGGUGAUCGGCCACACUGGAACUGAGACACGGUCCAGACUCCUACUACGGGAGGCAGCAGCA
RNAcentral lists this ribosomal RNA (266 nucleotides) under uncultured Staphylococcus sp. RNAcentral's name for it is "partial 16S ribosomal RNA". It matches the Rfam family "Bacterial small subunit ribosomal RNA", at positions 99 to 355 of the family's 1533-position model. The record is from RNAcentral. Lineage: Bacteria; Bacillati; Bacillota; Bacilli; Caryophanales; Staphylococcaceae.